RNAcentral lists this ribosomal RNA (311 nucleotides) under uncultured Hyphomicrobiales bacterium. RNAcentral describes it as "bacterial SSU rRNA". It matches the Rfam family "Bacterial small subunit ribosomal RNA", at positions 21 to 358 of the family's 1533-position model. The record is from RNAcentral. Lineage: Bacteria; Pseudomonadati; Pseudomonadota; Alphaproteobacteria; Hyphomicrobiales.
GGCUCAGAACGAACGCUGGCUCCAGGCCUAACACAUGCAAGUCGAGCGGCCGUAGCAAUACGGCAGCGGCAGACGGGAGAGUAACACGUGGGAACGUGCCUUUCGGUUCGGAACAACCCAGGGAAACUUGGGCUAAUACCGGAUACGCCCUUACGGGGAAAGAUUUAUUGCCGAAGGAACGGCCCGCGUCCGAUUAGCUAGUUGGUGAGGUAAUGGCUCACCAAGGCGACGAUCGGUAGCUGGUCUGAGAGGAUGACCAGCCUCACUGGGACUGAGACACGGCCCAGACUCCUACGGGAGGCAGCAGUGGG